RNAcentral lists this ribosomal RNA (442 nucleotides) under uncultured bacterium. RNAcentral describes it as "partial 16S ribosomal RNA". It matches the Rfam family "Bacterial small subunit ribosomal RNA", at positions 338 to 795 of the family's 1533-position model. The record is from RNAcentral.
CCUACGGUGUGCAGCAGUGGGGAAUAUUGGGCAAUGGGCGCAAGCCUGACCCAGCAACGCCGCGUGAAGGAAGAAGGCUUUCGGGUUGUAAACUUCAUUUAAGAGGGAAGAGCAGAAGACGGUACCUCUUGAAUAAGCCACGGCUAACUACGUGCCAGCAGCCGCGGUAAUACGUAGGUGGCAGGCGUUGUCCGGAUUUACUGGGUGUAAAGGGCGUGUAGCCGGGCUGACAAGUCAGAUGUGAAAUUCCGGGGCGCAACCCCGGACCUGCAUUGGAAACUGUUGUGCUUGAGUAUCGGAGAGGCAGGCGGAAUGCCUAGUGUAGCGGUGACAUGCGUAGAUAUUAGGAGGAACACCAGUGGCGAAGGCGGCCUGCUGGACGACAACUGACGGUGAGGCGCGAAAGCGUGGGGAGCAAACAGGAUUAGAUACCCCUGUAGUC